RNAcentral lists this ribosomal RNA (612 nucleotides) under Triticum aestivum (bread wheat). RNAcentral's name for it is "partial small subunit ribosomal RNA". Lineage: Eukaryota; Viridiplantae; Streptophyta; Magnoliopsida; Poales; Poaceae. The record is from RNAcentral.
AUGGUGGCUUUUGAAGGUGCUUUGACUGGGAGGCGAUUCCUGGGUUGUCCUGUGCAGCAGGAUGUAGGUGUGAACUGUGGGGUUGUGGAGUGGGUGGAUGGUCCUUGGCCAGAGAUUCUACAAAGGUGCCUAACAAGGAUUUGGGACAUGUACCAUGAGCAGAACUUGGGGAGGGUGAAGGACAAACAAGCCCAUGAGAAAGAGGUGGCCAAGCUACAGAAGGAAAUUGAUUUCCUGUCAAACAACUACAGCCAGUUGGUGGAAGAUGUAUCCAAGCUUUUUGACUAUCAAGAUGGCAAGAUGUCUCAUGACAUGGACUAUACCAGUCAGGCAAUCAAUGAUCUAAAUGCAAAGAAGAAACAACUUGAGGAUCAAGCAAAGAUUGAGAUAAGUGUGGAAAAGAUGAAGCUUGCCAAGGAACAAAGGUGCAUUCUUCGAAGUCAAGCAGAUAUCAUUCAGAACAUGAGGAAGACCAUGAAGGAAGUGGAGGGGGACAAGGACCUACUUAAGCAAGAGAAGAAGAAGCUGGAGUAUUUGAUUGCUGAUCUGGUCAAUGCUGGGCAUGCCAGCAAAGAUAAGCUGGAGAGGAUCAAUGCAAUUAUGAAUGAGUGA